RNAcentral lists this ribosomal RNA (433 nucleotides) under uncultured bacterium. Its description in RNAcentral is "partial 16S ribosomal RNA". It matches the Rfam family "Bacterial small subunit ribosomal RNA", at positions 29 to 507 of the family's 1533-position model. The record is from RNAcentral.
AACGAACGCUGGCGGCAGGCCUAACACAUGCAAGUCGAGCGAGGACUUCGGUUCUAGCGGCGGACGGGUGAGUAACGCGUGGGAAUGUGCCCUUCUCUACGGAAUAGCCCUGGGAAACUGGGAGUAAUACCGUAUACGCCCUUUUGGGGAAAGAUUUAUCGGAGAAGGAUUAGCCCGCGUUGGAUUAGGUAGUUGGUGGGGUAAUGGCCUACCAAGCCGACGAUCCAUAGCUGGUUUGAGAGGAUGAUCAGCCACACUGGGACUGAGACACGGCCCAGACUCCUACGGGAGGCAGCAGUGGGGAAUCUUAGACAAUGGGGGCAACCCUGAUCGAGCCAUGCCGCGUGAGUGACGAAGGCCUUAGGGUUGUAAAGCUCUUUCGGCUGGGAAGAUAAUGACGGUACCAGCAGAAGAAGCCCCGGCUAACUCCGUG